Molecule: ribosomal RNA, 28 nt
Filed under: Pilatoporus ostreiformis
Lineage: Eukaryota; Fungi; Basidiomycota; Agaricomycetes; Polyporales; Fomitopsidaceae
Description: partial 18S ribosomal RNA
Source: RNAcentral
CGUAGGGUGACCUGCGGAAGGAUCAUUA